GAUGAACGCUGGCGGCGUGCCUAAUACAUGCAAGUCGAGCGAAUGGAUUAAGAGCUUGCUCUUAUGAAGUUAGCGGCGGACGGGUGAGUAACACGUGGGUAACCUGCCCAUAAGACUGGGAUAACUCCGGGAAACCGGGGCUAAUACCGGAUAACAUUUUGAACCGCAUGGUUCGAAAUUGAAAGGCGGCUUCGGCUGUCACUUAUGGAUGGACCCGCGUCGCAUUAGCUAGUUGGUGAGGUAACGGCUCACCAAGGCAACGAUGCGUAGCCGACCUGGGAGGGUGAUCGGCCACACAGGGACUGAGACACGGCCCAGACUCCUACGGGAGGCAGCAGUAUGGAAUCUUCCGCAAUGGACGAAAGUCUGACGGAGCAACGCCGCGUGAGUGAUGAAGGCUUUCGGGUCGUAAAACUCUGUUGUUAGGGAAGAACAAGUGCUAGUUGAAUAAGCUGGCACCUUGACGGUACCUAACCAGAAAGCCACGGCUAACUACGUGCCAGCCGCCGCCGUAA
Molecule: ribosomal RNA, 515 nt
Filed under: uncultured bacterium
Lineage: Bacteria
Description: partial 16S ribosomal RNA
Rfam family: Bacterial small subunit ribosomal RNA
Source: RNAcentral